Molecule: long non-coding RNA, 1637 nt
Organism: Nerophis ophidion (straightnose pipefish)
Lineage: Eukaryota; Metazoa; Chordata; Actinopteri; Syngnathiformes; Syngnathidae
Exons: 4
Source: RefSeq, a predicted model, not a curated record
GACAUAUUUCACUGAAGCACGUGCCCCACUGUUGAUCUGCAGUGCCCCAGUAAAAAUUUCACCAAUAAAAAAAAACGCUUCAGAGUUUUAAGUCUACAUAACAUAGACAACAGCGCACAUACUACUUAGUAUGGUAAUUGAUUGCUACUGUAUUCACUCCACGAAACAAUGAGCACAUGGCUAAUUAAUAUGGUAAUUUAUUCACGUGUGGAUCGAGACUUCAGUUGAGAGAGAGAGAGAGAGAGAAAGAGAGAGAGAGAGAGAGAGAGAGAGGAUGAGAAUCACUGCUGAGAUGGAUAUCAGAAAGUUAUUCGCCUGCAGCAGAGAAGAAGCAGCAGGAAUAAUAUAGGCCACAGGCAGAGUUCGCACAUCUUUGGGCAACUUUCUAAAAUCUUUUAGAAAACCUUCAACACCAUCCUGGAGAGAGUAAAUAUCCAAGUCCGCCCAUAAAGUCUGAGACCACUUGUUUUUUGCAGCCUAAGAAACAAAACCAAGAUCCACAAAAUUACAGAAGCUGAUACUGUUUCCAGUGGCUAAGACACUGCUCUACAGAGACCAGCAAUUGCUGAAUGUUCUGAGACAAGGCAAGGGCACUGUCGUUAAUUUUAGGGUGAUUAUAUAUUUCAUCGAAGAAGCUAAACGUCACCAAGUCAUCAGCACCAACAUGUUGGGGAGGGCACUCAACGCAAGUCCCAUGAAUCCAGCGUACAAACUCCUGGAAUGCAACCAAACCCAAACAUGGAGGUGGACAUAUCAGGUCAUACAGCCAUUGUUAAAUGUGUACACUUUGGCAGUGGUUAACAGAAGAUCUUACCUUAGUACUGUCGACACAAUCUCUGAUACAUUGCAUUAGUAGCCGGUUGAUCUCAUUUAUUCUGGGCUGCAACAAAAUCCUGGGGGGCGAAAGUAUGGCAUCAAUACGGAAGAGAGGGGUUGUCCCCAUCAAGGCAGUAUUGAAGGCCUUGAUAUUCCUGCACGUGACAGCAAACAGAAAGUCUAUUAUAAAUGAUAAGCUACAUGUCACACUAUUGUGUAACAUUCUGAGCACAAUACUAGUUACAGCUCCCAAGAUAUUACCUCAACAACAUGUUUACGAGUGCAUCGUGCACCCUGUGUUCCCAGUAUGUGUAAUAACCUGACAUACUCUGGCACUUGCCAGAGUUAGUUUCCAUGAUCAAAUGCUCCACCUUUGUAAUGACUGGUCCAAUGUCAGCAUAUUUGCUUUUCAACAAGUUCACUGUCUUGUUACGCUCUCGAUCAAUACAUUCAUAAAACUCCCUGACACCUAAAAACACAAAGUAUUGAAAAAUGCAUAUGAAAGUAAUUUGCAAUUAAUGCCAUUUGAUUAGAAUAUUAAUUGUACUUGGUAAAAGGUCUGUUUUAUCUGGAGCUGGGCAUUUCAGGAGAUCUGCCACUUGUAUACAUUGCAGUUUGUUUUCAAUAUCUGUCUCGUUGUUCUGUAUUUGACUGACAGUUGACUCAAACUUUGAGAGCUCUGGGUUGCCAUGGUUGAUGAAAUCGCCGAUGGCUAAAUUAAAACAUACGGAAAUGAUUUUCUCCCAUCCAAAAUACACAUUUAUAAAGUCACAGCAACAUUUUAGUACCAUACCUAAAGAGUUCCAGUUGAGUCUUUUACA